GCAGCCUGAUGCAGCAACGCCGCGUGAGGGAUGACGGCCUUCGGGUUGUAAACCUCUUUUAGUAGGGAAGAAGCGAAAGUGACGGUACCUGCAGAAAAAGCACCGGCUAACUACGUGCCAGCAGCCGCGGUAAUACGUAGGGUGCAAGCGUUGUCCGGAAUUAUUGGGCGUAAAGAGCUCGUAGGCGGUUUGUCGCGUCUGCUGUGAAAACUGGAGGCUCAACCUCCAGCCUGCAGUGGGUACGGGCAGACUAGAGUGCGGUAGGGGAGAUUGGAAUUCCUGGUGUAGCGGUGGAAUGCGCAGAUAUCAGGAGGAACACCGAUGGCGAAGGCAGAUCUCUGGGCCGUAACUGACGCUGAGGAGCGAAAGCAUGGGGAGCGAACAGGAUUAGAUACCCUGGUAGUCCAUGCCGUAAACGUUGGGAACUAGAUGUGGGGACCAUUCCACGGUCUCCGUGUCGCAGCUAACGCAUUAAGUUCCCCGCCUGGGGAGUACGGCCGCAAGGCUAAAACUCAAAGGAAUUGACGGGGGCCCGCACAAGCGGCGGAGCAUGCGGAUUAAUUCGAUGCAACGCGAAGAACCUUACCAAGGCUUGACAUAUACCGGAAACGGCCAGAGAUGGUCGCCCCGCAAGGUC
This 637-nucleotide ribosomal RNA is filed under the name Microbacteriaceae bacterium Ri1Ps_4661. Its description in RNAcentral is "bacterial SSU rRNA". It matches the Rfam family "Bacterial small subunit ribosomal RNA", at positions 378 to 1028 of the family's 1533-position model. The record is from RNAcentral. Lineage: Bacteria; Bacillati; Actinomycetota; Actinomycetes; Micrococcales; Microbacteriaceae.